AGUCAAUAGAUACCCUGGUAGUCUACGCCGUAAACGAUGAAUACUAGGUGUGGGGGUUGUCAUGACCUCCGUGCCGCCGCUAAACGCAUUAAGUAUUCCGCCUGGGGAGUACGGUCGCAAGAUUAAAAACUCAAAGGAAUUGACGGGGGCCCGCACAAGCAGCGGAGCAUGUGGUUUAAUUCGAAGCAACGCGAAGAACCUUACCUAGACUUGACAUCUCCUGAAUUACUCUGUAAUAGAGGAAGCCCUUCGGGGCAGGAAGACAGGUGGUGCAUGGUUGUCGUCAGCUCGUGUCGUGAGAUGUUGGGUUAAGUCCCGCAACGAGCGCAACCCUUAUUGUUAGUUGCUACCAUUUAGUUGAGCACUCUAGCGAGACUGCCCGGGUUAACCGGGAGGAAGGUGGGGAUGACGUCAAAUCAUCAUGCCCCUUAUGUCUAGGGCUACACACGUGCUACAAUGGCUGGUACAGAGAGAUGCGAUACCGCGAGGUGGAGCCAAACUUUAAAACCAGUCUCAGUUCGGAUUGUAGGCUGAAACUCGCCC
RNAcentral lists this ribosomal RNA (543 nucleotides) under uncultured bacterium. Its description in RNAcentral is "bacterial SSU rRNA". It matches the Rfam family "Bacterial small subunit ribosomal RNA", at positions 774 to 1317 of the family's 1533-position model. The record is from RNAcentral.